This 544-nucleotide ribosomal RNA is filed under the name uncultured bacterium. RNAcentral describes it as "bacterial SSU rRNA". It matches the Rfam family "Bacterial small subunit ribosomal RNA", at positions 358 to 916 of the family's 1533-position model. The record is from RNAcentral.
GGAAUUUUCCGCAAUGGGCGAAAGCCUGACGGAGCAACGCCGCGUGAGGGAUGAAGGCCUCUGGGCUGUAAACCUCUUUUAUCAAGGAAGAAGAUCUGACGGUACUUGAUGAAUAAGCCACGGCUAAUUCCGUGCCAGCAGCCGCGGUAAUACGGGAGUGGCAAGCGUUAUCCGGAAUUAUUGGGCGUAAAGCGUCCGCAGGCGGUCUUUUAAGUCUGUCGUCAAAGCGUGGAGCUUAACUCCAUUUCUGCGAUGGAAACUGGGAGACUAGAGUGUGGUAGGGGCAGAGGGAAUUCCCGGUGUAGCGGUGAAAUGCGCAGAUAUCGGGAAGAACACCAGUGGCGAAGGCGCUCUGCUGGGCCAUAACUGACGCUCAUGGACGAAAGCCAGGGGAGCGAAAGGGAUUAGAUACCCCUGUAGUCCUGGCCGUAAACGAUGAACACUAGGUGUCGGGGGAAUCGACCCCCUCGGUGUCGUAGCCAACGCGUUAAGUGUUCCGCCUGGGGAGUACGCACGCAAGUGUGAAACUCAAAUGAAUUGACGG